Molecule: long non-coding RNA, 358 nt
Organism: Etheostoma spectabile (orangethroat darter)
Lineage: Eukaryota; Metazoa; Chordata; Actinopteri; Perciformes; Percidae
Exons: 3
Source: RefSeq, a predicted model, not a curated record
CUUUAACAGAAAGACAGUCAGAGCAGGGACCCCUUACUACAUAUUGUAUAAAAUUAAGUUGCAUAUUAAACUGGGCCAAUAACUGUUAGGGCAACAUAAAGCCAUUCUUACAUGCCCUUAUUGCAUAAACUAUUAAAGUCUGAAUUGUUGGCGUGAUGUUAUAAAGUAUCUUUUAAUGUUACACAUCUGGCACAGUGAAUCUAGGAUGAACUGUAUCUGUGGGGUGCUAUCUUAGUGACCACCUUACCCAUAGGCCAGUAAGUCUUUCGUCACUGGGAAUUUAUAUUUGCCAGUCUAUGUUGGAAUUAUGUAAUCGAUUUUUUUUUUUUUAAAGACUUUCAAAAAUUGACAAUAAUUU